GAUGAACGCUAGCUACAGGCUUAACACAUGCAAGUCGAGGGGAAACGAUAGAGAAAGCUUGCUUUUUCUAGGCGUCGACCGGCGCACGGGUGAGUAACGCGUAUCCAACCUGCCCACCACUUGGGGAUAACCUUGCGAAAGUAAGACUAAUACCCAAUGACGUCUCUAGAAGACAUCUGAAAGGGAUUAAAGAUUUAUCGGUGAUGGAUGGGGAUGCGUCUGAUUAGCUUGUUGGCGGGUAACGGCCCACCAAGGCGACGAUCAGUAGGGGUUCUGAGAGGAAGGUCCCCCACAUUGGAACUGAGACACGGUCCAAACUCCUACGGGAGGCAGCAGUGAGGAAUAUUGGUCAAUGGGCGAGAGCCUGAACCAGCCAAGUAGCGUGCAGGAUGACGGCCCUAUGGGUUGUAAACUGCUUUUAUAAGGGAAUAAAGUGAGCCUCGUGAGGCUUUUUGCAUGUACCUUAUGAAUAAGGACCGGCUAAUUCCGUG
RNAcentral lists this ribosomal RNA (491 nucleotides) under uncultured bacterium. RNAcentral's name for it is "bacterial SSU rRNA". It matches the Rfam family "Bacterial small subunit ribosomal RNA", at positions 28 to 507 of the family's 1533-position model. The record is from RNAcentral.